RNAcentral lists this long non-coding RNA (1638 nucleotides) under Homo sapiens (human). RNAcentral describes it as "HSALNT0050502". The record is from RNAcentral. Lineage: Eukaryota; Metazoa; Chordata; Mammalia; Primates; Hominidae.
UUGGUAUGAAUUAAAAUAGAUUGUUAUAACUCUAAGAUGUUACAUGUAGUACCCAUGGUAACCACAUAGAAAAUAUAUAUGGAAUAUACACAAUGAAAAUGAGAAAGAAAUAAAAAUGUGUCACUAGAAAAAAUGAACUGAACACAAAGGAUAGUAGUAAUUAAAGCAAUGAGAGGCAUAAAACUAUAAGACACAGAAAACAACAAAUUGACAAAAGUAAGUUUUUCCCUAUCAGUAAAUACUUUAAGUUCAAAGGGAUUAAACCCCCUAUGAUGGUUAAUUUUAUGUGUCAACUUGAUCAGGCUAAGACAUGCUCAGAUAGCUGGUGAAACAUAAUUUCUGGGUGUGUCUGUAUUAAUGUUUCUGGAAGAGAUUAGCAUUUGAAUCAGUAGACUGAGUAAAGAAUAUCUGACCUCACCAAUGUGUGUAGUGUUGGUUCAAUCUGUUGAAGGUCCAAAUAGAACAAAAGGGUAGAAGAAGGGUGAGUUCUCUCUGUCUAUCUUCUUGAGCAAGGAAGCCAUAUAUCUUCUCCUACCCUUGGACAUUGGAGUUCCUGGUUCUUGGGCCUCAGACUCCAGGACUUAUACAAUUGGUUCUCCUGGCUCUUAGGCUUUCAGACUUGAACUGAAUUAUACCACCAACUUUCCUGAUUUCCCAGUUUGCCAACAGCACAUCACAGGACUUCUCAGCCUCCACAACAUUGAAAUUAACUGUUCACUAAGAAGCAGAAUGAUCUUCACUGGAACAACGAAACAACGGAUGAUCUGCCUUUAAUAGGAUAAAAGCCAGUAUUUGCAAAUAUAAAAUACUAUUUUGAGAUCCUUGUGGAGUUCAUUUUUGUGUAUGGUCAGAGGUUAUUGUCAGUGUUCAUUUUUUGCCAUAUAGAUACCUGGUUGUUCUACCAUUUGAUGAAAGGUAUUAUCAUGUCCCCAUUGAAUUACCAUGACACUUUGUCAAAUAUCACUUGACCCUAUGUAUGAAGGUAUAUUUCUGGCCUCUGUUUUGUUCCAUUGAUCUUAUGUGUAUCACUGUGCCAAUAUAACCCUACCUUGAUUACUGAAUCUUUACAGUAUAUCUUGAUAUCGUCUAGGGUAAGUGAUCUAAAUGUAUACUUUUGUUUCUAAGUAUUUUUGACUUUGGUUCUUUGAGUUCUCCAUAUACAUUUGAUAAUCAGUUUGCCAAAUUUCUCAAAAAGCCCUGCUGGAUAUUGAAUGGAAUUAUAUUGAAUCUAAAUAUCAGUUUGGAGAUAACUGACAUCUUAAUAAUACAUCUUCCAAUCAAAUGCAUACAAUAUAUCUCAUUUAUUUAGAUAGGUUUGCUUUAAUUUAUUUUAGCAAUGUUUGCAGUUAUCUGUUCAGUAUUUUAUUUAAAUUAUUCCUAAAUAUUUCUUGAUUUUUGAUGCUAUGGGAAACAGUGUAUUUUAUUUUUUUCAUUAAUCAUUACUUUUGUAGAGAGAGACAAUGGAUUUUUAUAUGUGAAGCUUAUAUGCUGCGACCAUGACCACGCUAAACUCACUUUUUAGUUCUGAUAAAUUUUUUUGUACAUUUCAUAGGAUUUUUGGCAUACAUAAUUGUGAUUAUGUCACUUAUAAAUAAAGACAAUAUUACUUAUUUAUUUCUAGUCUGCCUGCCUUUUUUU